GACAGAGGUGCCGAGCGUUAGGCGGAAUCACUGGGCUUAAAGCGCGUGUAGGCGGGACGGCACGUCGGUCGCUGAAAGCCCCCGGCUCAACCGGGGAACGGGCGCCGAUACGACCGUCCUGGAGGGACGUAGGGGGACCUGGAACAUCCGGUGGAGCGGUGAAAUGCGUUGAGAUCGGAUGGAACGCCCGUGGCGAAAGCGAGGUCCUGGACGUUUUCUGACGCUGAGACGCGAAAGCCAGGGGAGCGAACGGG
Molecule: ribosomal RNA, 254 nt
Filed under: uncultured bacterium
Lineage: Bacteria
Description: partial 16S ribosomal RNA
Rfam family: Bacterial small subunit ribosomal RNA
Source: RNAcentral